This 195-nucleotide ribosomal RNA is filed under the name uncultured Microgenomates group bacterium. Its description in RNAcentral is "partial 16S ribosomal RNA". It matches the Rfam family "Bacterial small subunit ribosomal RNA", at positions 1190 to 1382 of the family's 1533-position model. The record is from RNAcentral.
UCAGCAUGGCGCUUAUAUCUAGGGCUACACACAUGGCGUAAUGGGUGGGACAACGGGAGUGCCAAGGCGCGAGCCGGAGCUAAUCCUUAUAAACCCAUCCUCAGUUUGGAUUGCAGGCUGCAAUUCGCCUGCAUGAAAGGGAGUUGAUAGUAAUCGCGGAUCAGCAUCACCGCGGUGAAUACGUUCUCGUUUCUU